RNAcentral lists this ribosomal RNA (1454 nucleotides) under Escherichia coli. RNAcentral's name for it is "partial 23S ribosomal RNA". It matches the Rfam family "Bacterial large subunit ribosomal RNA", at positions 101 to 1597 of the family's 2925-position model. Lineage: Bacteria; Pseudomonadati; Pseudomonadota; Gammaproteobacteria; Enterobacterales; Enterobacteriaceae. The record is from RNAcentral.
UAACCGGCGAUUUCCGAAUGGGGAAACCCAGUGUGUUUCGACACACUAUCAUUAACUGAAUCCAUAGGUUAAUGAGGCGAACCGGGGGAACUGAAACAUCUAAGUACCCCGAGGAAAAGAAAUCAACCGAGAUUCCCCCAGUAGCGGCGAGCGAACGGGGAGCAGCCCAGAGCCUGAAUCAGUAUGUGUGUUAGUGGAAGCGUCUGGAAAGGCGCGCGAUACAGGGUGACAGCCCCGUACACAAAAAUGCACAUGCUGUGAGCUCGAUGAGUAGGGCGGGACACGUGGUAUCCUGUCUGAAUAUGGGGGGACCAUCCUCCAAGGCUAAAUACUCCUGACUGACCGAUAGUGAACCAGUACCGUGAGGGAAAGGCGAAAAGAACCCCGGCGAGGGGAGUGAAAAAGAACCUGAAACCGUGUACGUACAAGCAGUGGGAGCACAGAGCAAUCUGUGUGACUGCGUACCUUUUGUAUAAUGGGUCAGCGACUUAUAUUCUGUAGCAAGGUUAACCGAAUAGGGGAGCCGAAGGGAAACCGAGUCUUAACUGGGCGUUAAGUUGCAGGGUAUAGACCCGAAACCCGGUGAUCUAGCCAUGGGCAGGUUGAAGGUUGGGUAACACUAACUGGAGGACCGAACCGACUAAUGUUGAAAAAUUAGCGGAUGACUUGUGGCUGGGGGUGAAAGGCCAAUCAAACCGGGAGAUAGCUGGUUCUCCCCGAAAGCUAUUUAGGUAGCGCCUCGUGAAUUCAUCUCCGGGGGUAGAGCACUGUUUCGGCAAGGGGGUCAUCCCGACUUACCAACCCGAUGCAAACUGCGAAUACCGGAGAAUGUUAUCACGGGAGACACACGGCGGGUGCUAACGUCCGUCGUGAAGAGGGAAACAACCCAGACCGCCAGCUAAGGUCCCAAAGUCAUGGUUAAGUGGGAAACGAUGUGGGAAGGCCCAGACAGCCAGGAUGUUGGCUUAGAAGCAGCCAUCAUUUAAAGAAAGCGUAAUAGCUCACUGGUCGAGUCGGCCUGCGCGGAAGAUGUAACGGGGCUAAACCAUGCACCGAAGCUGCGGCAGCGACGCUGAUGCGUUGUUGGGUAGGGGAGCGUUCUGUAAGCCUGCGAAGGUGUGCUGUGAGGCAUGCUGGAGGUAUCAGAAGUGCGAAUGCUGACAUAAGUAACGAUAAAGCGGGUGAAAAGCCCGCUCGCCGGAAGACCAAGGGUUCCUGUCCAACGUUAAUCGGGGCAGGGUGAGUCGACCCCUAAGGCGAGGCCGAAAGGCGUAGUCGAUGGGAAACAGGUUAAUAUUCCUGUACUUGGUGUUACUGCGAAGGGGGGACGGAGAAGGCUAUGUUGGCCGGGCGACGGUUGUCCCGGUUUAAGCGUGUAGGCUGGUUUUCCAGGCAAAUCCGGAAAACUAAGGCUGAGGCGUGAUGACGAGGCACUGCGGUGCUGAAGCAACAAA